This 231-nucleotide long non-coding RNA is filed under the name Capsicum annuum. Its description in RNAcentral is "long non-coding RNA (CANN_LNC016983)". The record is from RNAcentral. Lineage: Eukaryota; Viridiplantae; Streptophyta; Magnoliopsida; Solanales; Solanaceae.
UGUCCCCCUCAUUGUUCAGGAGCUUAUGGAAAUACGACUGCCAUCUUUUCUUAAUUAGAACGUCCUCCACCAAAAAUUUUCCAUCCUCUCCUUUAAUGCACUUCACUUGGUCCAAAUCCCGACCCUUACACUCCCUAGUUUUGGCAAGCCUGUACAACCUCUUUUCCCCGUCUCUCUCCUCUAAACCCAAAUAAAGUCUCUCAAACGCUGCUGUCUUAGCAGUCGUAACUG